GUGGCUGUGGCUUAGUGGUAGAGCACUGGUCUAGCAUGCGUGAGGCACUGGGUUCGAACCUCAGCACCACA
This 71-nucleotide transfer RNA is filed under the name Ictidomys tridecemlineatus (thirteen-lined ground squirrel). RNAcentral describes it as "Spermophilus tridecemlineatus (thirteen-lined ground squirrel) tRNA". It matches the Rfam family "tRNA". From Rfam's summary of the family: Transfer RNA (tRNA) molecules are approximately 80 nucleotides in length. Their secondary structure includes four short double-helical elements and three loops (D, anti-codon, and T loops). RNAcentral also lists the same sequence under 1 other name. Lineage: Eukaryota; Metazoa; Chordata; Mammalia; Rodentia; Sciuridae. The record is from Rfam by way of RNAcentral.